UCCUCUCGCCGCCCUCUUCGAUUGAGCGUCGGGCUUUUACGCUGACCCGCGUGACGUCCCUAACAAAUAGAUUUUAGAGUGUCAGAAGUCUAAAGGGUUCGUAACGGUUUAAUAAAAAUAAUGCGUAAAAAAUGAGCACAAUCACCGUGCGCGCGGCAGCAUAUCGGACUCUCCCGAUAUGCCCACUUUGGUAGCAUACCGGACAAAAUUGUGUCCGUUAUCCACCGUUAUGUAACAUAUCGCUGCAUAUCGGAAAAUCGAAUAUGCAAGCGCGCGCACAGUGAAUAACAACCCCCUGUAUGAUGUACUACGAACGGUCUUCAUUGCGUGACACCGGAUUGACAUCUUAUCGUCGUGAUCUCCGUGCCCACUUUUCUCUCGAUCGGCAACCUUGUAUUCACAAUAACAACAUCAAUUCCCAUAUUUCUUGUAUGUUGUCGUCAUUAAAGGAUGAGACAUGCCCAAGCUAGGAAUCUGCAUAGAAGGGUUUUCCACAUUCUCUCCCUUCCCAUCGGGAUUGAAGAUGUAGUGCAUACCGAUUUCAGCCUGCUGGUGGAUUCGGUAGAAUUGAAAUCAGCUUCUCUCCAAUAUUACCUAAUAAGAGACCUUGUUUCAUGCCAAAAUCCAAUACUUG
RNAcentral lists this small RNA (634 nucleotides) under Cryptococcus neoformans H99. RNAcentral's name for it is "Cryptococcus neoformans var. grubii H99 hypothetical RNA". Lineage: Eukaryota; Fungi; Basidiomycota; Tremellomycetes; Tremellales; Cryptococcaceae. The record is from RNAcentral.